UACGGAGGAUGCAAGCGUUAUCCGGAUUCAUUGGGUUUAAAGGGUGCGUAGGCGGGCUAUUAAGUCAGUGGUGAAAUCCUGCAGCUUAACUGCAGAACUGCCGUUGAUACUGAUAGUCUUGAGUUUGGUUAAGGUAGGCGGAAUGUGUCAUGUAGCGGUGAAAUGCAUAGAGAUGACACAGAACACCGAUAGCGAAGGCAGCUCACAAAGCUAUUACUGACGCUGAUGCACGAAAGCGUGGGGA
This 244-nucleotide ribosomal RNA is filed under the name uncultured prokaryote. Its description in RNAcentral is "partial 16S ribosomal RNA". It matches the Rfam family "Bacterial small subunit ribosomal RNA", at positions 524 to 767 of the family's 1533-position model. The record is from RNAcentral.